CUGCAUCGAUCUACUCAUCUAGUAUACUCGAAGUCGAAAAAAAACUCGAACAAAACCCCUCGGCGUCUCUCUUCACUUGCAGCAGAAAGAGUCAAAGAGGUAAAGUUUAAUGUUUAUCCAUGUAUUAAUUCUAGGCUUCGUAUGCUUGUAAGUUGUAUUGUAACAUUUGUUCCAUUCGAGAUCUCUGACCUCUACUUCUUCUUUUUCUAUCCUUUUGCAGCUAGGGUUUUUACAUAUUUCUUCAGGUUUGCCCCUCUUUCCCCGACCCUUUUCUUCUUUCUGUUGAUUUUUGUUGAAUCUGUUGAUAUUGAGUUCUUGAUUGCUUUGUUAAGUGUUGUUAACUUUAAUAUGUAUCGGUUUAUUUGGAUUGUUUUGAAUCUGUUGAUAUUUUGGUUUGUUAAGCCUUCUAGCCACGAUCAAUCUCAGUACUGCAUAACAAGAGUGCAGAUUUCACAUUAAUUUACACAAAUUCUAGUAAUAUUUGAAAAUCGUAACCACUUUCUAUGGUUAUUCCUUGAAAAUCUUAGCAUAUUAUGAAUAUUUUCUGGGGGAAUUUGAUGACCACCUUAUUUAUUUGGAAAGUGGAAAGAAUAGUAUAAUGUUUAGAAAAGAAAAACGAAAAGGAAAUUGGCUUUUAGGUUUUUUCCCCUUAUAUUCCUAGUACUUUCAUUCUGUAAUGUUAACUAUUAAUGUGUUUGAUGCUUAGCAAUUAACUUGUUGUAUUAAUUAUUCAUUCUAGAUUAGAUUUCUGUUUUUGUGCUGUUGAAUGAUUUUGGAUUUGAAAGUUAACUGAUUUUUUGACCGAUGAUAAAUUUUUGGAUGUUGGUGCUGGUGUUGCUGGAAUUUUUGGAUGUUGGUGCUGCUGGAAUUUUUGGAUGUUGGUGCUAGUGUUGCUGGAAUUUUUGGAUGUUGGUGUUGCUGGAAUUUCUGGAUGUUGGUGCUGGUGGUGCUGGAAUUUUUGGAUGCUGGUGUUGCUGGAAUUUUUCCUUCAAAGUUCAAAUUAUGCUGGAUGUUUAGGUUUUAAUUUAUUGUUGGUUGCUAAUGUAUUUGCUUGUAUUUUUCUAGUGCGAACAGACUUUUAAUUUGAGAUUUUAAAAUUUGAUCAUGCAUUUUACAUAUUGCAUUGAUUUAUCACUUUGAGAAGUAUAUUAAAAGUUUGCAUCUCUGUAGGAUUUUAAUUAUUGUCUUAAUUCAUGUCCAGAUUUUCAUUUAUAUUGAAAGUUAGUAAAUUCAUAUUAAAACUUAGCCAUGUGAAUUAGCUUAACAUUUAUUUUAAAAGCUGAAAUCGUAAGCCAAUUUUAAAGCUUAGCCAUGCUAAAUCUUCCCAAACCGUAAGCCAAUUUUAAAUCAAAAACCAAAAGAACCCAUG
This 1369-nucleotide long non-coding RNA is filed under the name Populus tremula. RNAcentral's name for it is "long non-coding RNA (PTRE_LNC000749)". Lineage: Eukaryota; Viridiplantae; Streptophyta; Magnoliopsida; Malpighiales; Salicaceae. The record is from RNAcentral.